UUUUGCCUUCGGGUACAAUUGAGACAGGUGGUGCAUGGUUGUCGUCAGCUCGUGUCGUGAGAUGUUGGGUUAAGUCCCGCAACGAGCGCAACCCUUGUGUUUAGUUGCAAACAGGUCAAGCUGUGCACUCUAGACAGACUGCCGUGGACAACACGGAGGAAGGUGGGGAUGACGUCAAAUCAUCAUGCCCCUUAUGAUCUGGGCUACACACGUGCUACAAUGGCCGGUACAACGGGCAGCGAAGGAGCGAUCCGGAGCGAAUCCUAAAAAGCCGGUCCCAGUUCGGAUUGCAGGCUGAAACUCGCCUACAUGAAGUUGGAGUUGCUAGUAAUCGCGAAUCAGAAUGUCGCGGUGAAUGCGUUCCCGGGUCUU
Molecule: ribosomal RNA, 372 nt
Filed under: uncultured Fusibacter sp.
Lineage: Bacteria; Bacillati; Bacillota; Clostridia; Eubacteriales; Fusibacteraceae
Description: bacterial SSU rRNA
Rfam family: Bacterial small subunit ribosomal RNA
Source: RNAcentral